RNAcentral lists this ribosomal RNA (253 nucleotides) under uncultured bacterium. RNAcentral describes it as "partial 16S ribosomal RNA". It matches the Rfam family "Bacterial small subunit ribosomal RNA", at positions 524 to 776 of the family's 1533-position model. The record is from RNAcentral.
UACGAAGGGGGCUAGCGUUGCUCGGAAUUACUGGGCGUAAAGCGCGUGUAGGCGGCGUCGUUAGUCGGAUGUGAAAGCCCUCGGCUCAACCGAGGAAGUGCAUCCGAUACUGCGAUGCUUGAGUGUUGGAGGGGGUGGCGGAAUUCCCGGUGUAGAGGUGAAAUUCGUAGAUAUCUGGAGGAACACCGGUGGCGAAGGCGGCUACCUGGCCCAACAUUGACACUGAGACCCGAAAGCGUGGGGAUCAAACAGG